UUUUUUCUUUUGCUUUUGCUUUCUGAGUUCAUUUUUUCCUCGUGAAAAUGCUUACUUCCCAACACUCAUGAGAGACUUUGUGAUUCCAAAAUGAGACCCAAAAAGGCAUAAAUCAAAUCAAAAGGUGGAAAUACUGGUUGAGUUGUUUGAAAUCAAGAUGGGUUCUUCCUCAAAUACCACAGUUGCUAUAACCCCCCCACACGCACACACACAUACACACACACGUUCCAGAAACACAAGUAUGCAAGCACUUAAUAUAAAGCAGAUACAAUCCCCAUUCUCAGAGCAUAUAUCUAAUUAGAGGAGCAAGAAUAAUAUGUUCUAUAUAUUUGCAGCUAGUCUAUGUCUCAGUAUAUUUUUUCUUGUCCCCCCCAAGAUAUAUAAGAAAUAGAGCUCUACUUUUCUUUGACUUAUACUAUUUUGUCUUUCAAGCCACCACUACACCAUUACCAUUUCAUCAGAGUGGUAGAACUAAAUCCCAUUCAACCCUAUACCUGAGGCUGUAUCUAGGUUUUAGGUGGUGGUAACAGGGGCCGUAUGUUAUGUCAAGGUGUCCAGAAGGGGAGAUGAGCCAGCCAGGCCCUCACUGGCACCUGUCCACACAGAAAUCCACUUAAACAUGCAUUGCCUGCCUGGUCCUUGGUAUGAGGUCCACCCAUGUGAUCACAGAGAUAGUUCCCUUUCAAUCCACUUGCUCCUUCAAGUUUUAGGGUUCUCUCUCUGAAUCCUGGGGUCCUUGUGGAUACCCAAGUAUCAUCCUGCUGUUUCUGUGACAUGAGUAGGUGCAGGAUGUCUAAGCCAUUCUAUAGCUACCUCUUCUCUAGGAUCUGGUGGCCUCUUGGGGCACGAGGAGGGGGAGACACAAACCUAUCUGUGGUUUUGCUGCUGCCCCAAACCAGGGAAGCAGAUGCAGGGCUCUUCCUUCUGGAACCCACCAACAUCUACACUCUUACUGCCUUCUAUCACUUUCAUCCUACUCUUACUAAGAAAAAACUUCUUCUUAUAUAUCUUAAUGGGUCUAAAGUAGAGGUCAAAUUGCAAAGCUGAAAAGAGCAGGGAUUUGCAUAUAUAUAUGGGAUGCUCUAAGACCUGGUCAGCACAGAAAGAGCCUCUAGAGGAAAUACUGCACCACCACUGGAUACAUUUAAGAGAAAUACAAUAAUUGUAUUUUAAACUAUCAGUUUUUAAUACUCUGGAAAUUAAAUCUCAUUUAAAUCUAGUUCAACUUAUGAUUUUAAAAAUUGGGAAUAAAAUCAACCUGACCAUCUAUAAGGGUUAGACAGUCUUCCAAAAUCUUUUUAGAGGGUGUCUGACCAAAAAGUUUGAAGGCCAACUACUCCUGAACCUAAAAGAGACUUACAUUUGAAAUGGAUCUUGAAAAGUGAGUUGAACAUUGCAGGGUGGGCAUGCUGGGGAAAGAAAGUCCAGGUAGAGGACUGCCCUCCAGUCUUGAGGAAAUGAAAAUGCAGGCAUAUUUAGAAAUAUAUGAGGAGCUGGUAUAAUUGGAAUAUACAUGGAGGGCCUAAUUUGCCCCUCUAAUGAGCCUAGACUUGUCCUUAGGCAAAAAGGAGAAAUGAGUCUGUCAUCUGAUCAAGUUCAACCCUUGACCAAUACUAAGAGAACAGUGGUUAAACUUCUGAAAACUUAAUGUCCAGAACAUAAAGAACUCACACAAUUAAACAAUAACAACAAAAACUUGAUUUAAAAAUGAGUAAAUUUAGGGGUACCUGGGUGGCUCCAUGGAUUAAGCAUCCAACUCUUGAUUUCAGCUUGGGUUGUGAUCUGAGGGUCAUGGGAUCAAGCCCCUCAUUGAGCUCCAUACUCAGCAGGGAGUCUGUUUGAGAUUCUUCCCCUCUGCCCCUCUCCCUGUUUGUACACUUUCUCUCUCUCUCAAAUAAAUAAAUAAAUAAAUAAAUCUUUAAAAAAGAUAAUGAGUAGACAUAGACACUUCUCCAAGAAAAUACAUAAAUGGCCAAUAGGCACAUGAAAAGAUGCUCGAUGUCACUAAUCAUUAGGAAACUACAAAUCAGAACCACAGUGAGAUCCCACUUCACACCCAUUCAGACGGACAUCAUCAAAAUCAAAAUAAACAACAACAGCAACAAAACAGAAAAAGACAGGGAUGGUGAGGAUGUGAAAAAAUUGGGACUCUGUGCUCUGCCAGUAGGAACAUAAAAUGGUGCAACCACUGUUAAAAAAACAGUAUGGUGGUUCCUAAAAAAUCAAAAAUAGAAUUACCAUAUAAUCCAGCAAUCUCACGUCUGGGUAUAUAUCCAAAAGAAUUGAACUCAGGUUCUCAAAGAGAUAUUUGUAUACCCAUGUACAUAGUUAUGAACAUAGUUAUUUUCACAUGUACAUAUUUGUACGUGGCUAUAUUCAUAUGUACAUAUUUGCACACCCAUGUUCAUAGGUUAUGAACAUGUUAUUCACAAUAGCCAAAAAAGCAACCCAAGUAUCCAUUGAUUGAUGAAUGAAUAAACAGAAUGUGGUCUAUACAUAAAAUGGAAUAUUAGUCUUAAAGAAGGAAAUCCUGACACAUGUUACAACAUAGAUGAGGCUUAAAGUCAUUACUGGUUAAGUGAAAUAAGGCAGUCACAGAAGAACAAACACUGUAUGAUUCUACUUAUAUGUGUCACCUAGAUAGUCAAAUUCAUAGAGUUAGCAAGCAGAAUGGUGGUUGCCAGGAGCUGGGGAGGAGGACACAUGGAAGUUACUGUUCUAGGCAUGGAGUCUGGGAAGAUGACAAAAAUUCUGGAGAGAAAUGGCAUUGUUGGCUGCCCAACAAUGUAAAUGUACUUAAUGCCACUGAAUUGUAUGUUGUAAGAUGAUUAAAAUGGUAAAUUUAUGUUAUGGGUAUUUUAUAAUCUUAAAAACAUUUUUCACACAGUUAAAAUAAUACAUUUUAUGUAUGUUUUAAGUGAAAAUUUACAUUUUAAAUUUUUUUCUGGAAACUUAAGUCUCUUUCUCUGGAGACUAGAAAAGACUUGUUCAGGCUCAGAGUUUGAGCUUUUUCUAAACAAAUCACCUUGACCCUUUGUUAAAACCUGGUGCUUUAACAUCCUUGCUGUUUUCUCUCCACCUGCAGUCUUGUAUCCUCCAUCCUUGUUGACUGCAGCACAGGGUUCAAUUAACUCUGUUUGGAAAAAAAUACAGACUUUCUGUCCCCAAGAAUGGGUCAUCAGCUCCUCAAACAUUCCCUCAGGCUACCCUCCAACCUGCUUAAGCCUCUGUCCCAACUGCAUUGAAGUCUGUUUCCUCUCUUCCUCAGAUGCUUGCCAAGCUCUCUCCCUCUCAAAAAACAAAUCAUAAAAUGAAGUUAAAACAAACCCUGCUCUGCUUUAUUCCACGUGUAGUUACAUCGUACUGCAGCAAGUUAAAGUUCAGAUCUUUGCAAGUUUACGGACUCUGGUCGUUCGUUCAACAAAUGUUAUUGCACAUCUGCCAGUGGCAGGGAUGGAGCGUGACAAAGGCAAGGAAGACAUGAUUUCAGUCAUUAUGACGUCUGCGGUUCAGUAGGGAAAACAAAUAAAUAGGAAAUGACAGCCCAGAGUGAAAAUGCAACCGUCCUCAGAGGAAGCACUGAGUGGGGGCAGGCGGGCUGAGGCUGGGGAGCGAGGGGCACCCAACCCGGUUAAGAGAUGGGAAGAAGAGAAUCCCAGAAAGAGGAAGCCUCAGUGGAGAAGCCUGCAGCAGAGACAGAUGCUGAAACACAGGGUAAAAAGCAGGUGCAUGUCCCCGAGAUCCCAGAGCCACCGUCUCAUUUGUUUCCCUCCAAAGUCCUCUGGCUCUUCCUUUUGUGUUGACAGCCCCCAGUUAGUUUUUCCAACUGUUCCAACCUGUUCAAAACUUCCCAAGAACCAACAGGAGAAAAACAGCACCUCACCUUUUGAGCUGUAAUUCCUUGAAAAGACUUAGGCUUUCAGGACAUUCGGCACCCUGUGUCAUCCCCUUCCCCUUUCCCUUUUCCUCUCUCCUUAGCACUAGGGACAGUGGCACUGAGCAAAAUAUGCAUUAUGCAAAAGCAACUUGAAGCUCUAAAGUGUGAUCAAAAUGGUGGGUAUGAAUCAUCAUGAUUAAUAAUGGGAUGUUUUGUACAGAGGAAAGUGCAGAGUCUGAGAUCCCAGGAAUCUUGGGUCUAGUUCCUUCCUCUGACUCUGUGACCCAGAGUAAAUUUUAAAUGUCUCUUCAGCACAUGCUGGCAUUUUACUGCAUCUUGCACUUUAUAUUCUUACCCUCAUCCCCAAGCACGCACACACAUGUAUAUGCUUGGAUAGGUGACACAAAUAUGGAGAUAUGUUUCAUUUUUGUAAUAUAGAUUGAUUGUAGGUUUCUGGGUGAUCACUCUAGUAUUCCUUUAAAUUUUCUCAAUUUUUGAAACUUUCAUAGCAAAAAUUUAGAAAACAAAAUUCCUCCCUUCCAGCCAUUUUCCAUCUGUGACCUGUGACUUUCCCUCAAUUUAAGACACUCUCUGGUCCCAGACAAUAUCAUACCACCCCUUCUUCUGAUAUCAAAAUUUGCUCAGAAAUAUGUAGUUACCCAUUAUCACCUCUCCUUAGCUUUGGGCAUAUUUAUGCUAAGUUCUUACUUUUUUAAAGAGCAUUCCCAUGUUACCUCUAACUAUAACAUAAAGGUUUUGUAGUUUCUUUAAAGGAUUUCAGAAUGAGCGAGUAAGAGAGGAUUGGAGGGCCAGGGAGGCUGUCUUCCCAGACCCGCAUAAAGCACAUCGAAGAGGCUACAUCUGCCUGUAUACACCCACGCGUGCAUAGCACAGUAUCCCUUUUUAAGCCACGUGUCUCAAGUGGACUCUGCUUUAAAUUGGCUGCUGCGCUGAGCCCCAUUACCCCCAUAGACGACCGACCACUCAUUUGUCAAGUAAGGCCACUGCACCAGCUGGGUACUGGACUAGCUCCCCUGGGCUGCUCAUUAAGCAUGUGGAUCCUGGACCCCACUCCCUGGUACACGUGGUCAACAACAUGCGAAACACUGCCCUGGAUGCCCCAUAGGACUCUCUUGAGCUAUAAUACAUGGACGUUUAUGACAAAAUAGUUGUGGGCUGUGUGCUCCCAAGAGAGCGUCUGUCCCACGCCUCCUCUCUUUCCCCCCACUCCCACCCCCUCUUCUCCAUCCAUUAUUCACAGCAUGAGCGGGACCUUAUCAGCCCAAAGGGAAAUGCUCUCCUGACUCUGCUGACCUGUAAGCCUAAGGCAAGAGAACUCAGAAGAAGGUGGGGUUGAAGCAGAUAUGCCACAAUCCAGGAGGAUUUUCUCUCUUUUUUGGCCAUCCUCUAAAAUAAAAUAUAACUGCUCAUCUCUUUCUCACUACACGAAACUGUAUUUUUAAAAAGAUUUUAUUUAAUUAUUCAUGAGAGACACAGAGAGAGAGGCAGAGAUAUAAGCAGAGGGAGGAGAAGCAAGUUCCCUGCAAGAAGCCUGAUGUGGGACUCGAUCCCAGGACUCUGGGAUCACCCCUGAGCCAACGGCAGACACUCAGUCACUGAGCCACCCAGGGGCCCCACGAAACUGUAUUUUAUAAGCCACAUUGCCUGCAGUUUAAGUGCUAUUUUCUUGUUGUGCAGAGCUCUCUUUUUUGAUAUAUUUUUUGGGAAAAGCUUUGUAAAGGCCUAUUUCAGCCUAAAAAUAGAAAUACUUUCCUUUAGGAAGUCACCGCUCCCUUCCUCUCACAUAUUUGAGGAAAUACUGCAGAUAUAACUGUAAUGAUGUUAAAAAGGAAAUCCAACCACAAAACAAAUUCCCUUCCAAGUGUUUUCACGGGAGCCUAUAACAGCUGAUAUCCAAAAGAUGGGAGGGCGGGGGCGGGGGGGCUCUUUCCCCUCAAUGUCAUACCGGGCCUUCCAUUUUCAGUGGGCCAAAUGUUAACUAAAUUGAAAAGAAAGUCAACAAAAGUCCUUUUCAUUCUGGGACAUACAAGAAUGCAGGGCCUCAUCCUGAAGUUUCAAGUCACUGAGACCUUCUACCCGGCUGAGUGAACUACAGGAAUUCAUUCAAUAAUCCUGUGGAAUGAUCCUUCUUGGGAGAAGAUGGAAGCCCAGAGCACCACCUGACCAGCCUCAGCAGUGACCCCUCAUUCUUCCCCGACUGUUCUCUUGUCCCGACUUGUCUGGAUUAUGUGAUUAUCAUAACACCAGUACGCAGGGGAAUCCUUGAAGGAGUCCUGACUGUUUUUUCUUCAGCAUGUUUCAAAGAACUGACAAAAGCAAUUGAGAAAAGAUUUCUUUCAGAUUUGCUGUUCCUCAGGCCAGGGGUACACACACUUUGCCUUGACCAUCAAGGGCAUUAUGUCAAAGCAAUGAGAAGUUACAGGUGCAAGCUGAAUGUAUGCUAUUAGCCGCCAAACCAGCCUGCAAAAAUAAAAUUCAUGUUAUCUCUCAGUUUUAUGCCAACUGGAGAUAAUUAUCAAUGAGUAAAACAACAAUAAGUUACAAGACAAGACAGUCCGGAUGCAACAAACUGCUAAAAUUGAUGAUAAAACUUGAAGGAAGUGUGCAGUUUGAGUUGAGCAUCUGGGGAAGGCUCCAUGCAGAAUAAAGAAAAUAGACUAGCUGUUACUGCCAUGGGCUUUGCAAACUGCCCUCAUCUAGAACUUGGAUCCGGUACUUAUUAGCUAUAGGACCUAAGGCAAAAUACUUAACCCAUGUCUGCCUUGGUUUCCUCAUCUGUAAAAUGGAGAUAAUGCAAGCAUUUAUCUCAGAAGGUUGUAAUAAAAAAAUACACACAUACAAACACACCCAUAUGUAUAGAUAGAUAGAUAGAUAGAUAGAUAGAUAGAUAGAUAGAUGUAUUUAUUCUUUUACCCAUUUUCACAGAAUAUAAGCUGCAUGAAAACAGAAAAUAUUAUUUGCUGCUAUGAUGACUGUCCUGUAUUGACUUAGCUAAAUUGCGAAUACAUUUCCAGCAUUCUCUUCCCUGCAUAUUCUUGGGACAGUGGCCAUAAGAGAAAUGUGUAUGAUAUUUGGAAGUUAAAAGUGAAGCCUUCGCCAUAUUUUUCUGCUCUGAAGGUCAGUGCAGGGCUCCAGCAGUGUGUUGGCUUACACACGAGGUCACUGAUCUGCUGGCACACCCUGUUGCAUGAGGCAGCAGCCAGACUCAUGCUUCUCCACUUCUCAGCAAAUCUCUUCCUUCAGCUUUUUUGAGUCCUGGGCCAGGCAUGAGUGCAGCUCCGUGGCGUCACUGCCUCCUACAGGUUCCCUCUGUUAGAGGCAAUGACAGACAGGUUCUGUUUUUUUCUCACAGGUCAGAAUCUGCCCUUGUUGGUACCAUUUUGCAUAGUUUUCCUUCCCCACUAGCUGGUCUUAAACUAUAAAGACUUAUGGAUCAUCACCAGAUGGAGAGGCAACAGCCUUGCAUAGAGUCCCCAGCAGCUUCUACAGUCAUGGAGUCAUGGAGUCUAAUUCCUAAAAUAAAUCCUUAUUCGGCAUCAUUUAUAGUGAUUUGGCUUCUCUGACUGAACCUGGACUUAUAGGGAAACUGGUGUCAGACAUGGUUCCAGAUGACAUGUUCUCUGACUCAGUUCUAGAACCAGUCUGAAAUUGGUUCUCUGAUCUCAUCCAAUUUAAAGGCAUGAAUGAUCCAGGAUCAUUCAUAAUAAUUGAUAAUGGUGGUCCUUGAGAUGCAAGCAGAAAUUACUUUAACGAUUACCUGCAAUCGAAUGUCAGUAGCAAACAAAGCUUUGGGUAAUAAAGUAGUUUCUUCAAAAAAAAAAAAAAAA
This 7725-nucleotide long non-coding RNA is filed under the name Canis lupus familiaris (dog). RNAcentral describes it as "lncRNA (ENSCAFG00000053338.1)". The record is from RNAcentral. Lineage: Eukaryota; Metazoa; Chordata; Mammalia; Carnivora; Canidae.